RNAcentral lists this long non-coding RNA (694 nucleotides) under Cyanistes caeruleus (blue tit). Its description in RNAcentral is "lncRNA (ENSCCEG00000011699.1)". The record is from RNAcentral. Lineage: Eukaryota; Metazoa; Chordata; Aves; Passeriformes; Paridae.
UGGGAAUGGAAAUCACAGAUGUUUUAAGGUAAAGUGUGCAAGCUUUAGUGUUCCCUUGGGUGAAGCAUGGUGCCGUGAAAUUUGGAGUACUAAAAUUUGGAAAAAAAAUGGUUUUCAUAGCCUAACCCUCUGCACUCUUUCUUAGUAGAGUCAAUAGUGCAAUGAACAUGCCACAGUAAACAAGAGACUGAUAUUUAUGACUUAUUCAUCCUGCCAUAUGUCAAUAUAUUUUAACAGUAAAGAUGUGGCUCAAGACAGUCAGAGUCUCAGAACUUUUUGAGAUGAACCAGUGUCACUCCGGAGCUCUCAGUGUGCUGCGUGUGGACUGAAAGACAUCAACAGCCCACAUGUGGGAAGGCCAGCUUCUCUUCCCUUCUUGCCAGCAUGCCUCACUCCUCCAUUUAGUCACUGGACUUGCAGGUGGGACAGAAUUUGGAAACAAGACCUUAUAUUCAAAGUUUGCUGUAACAGGAGACGCAGUGCAUCUGUGGAUCCCUGCACUUGUAUGUGCCUGCCAGCCAACAAACCUGUGAAAGCUCUAAUGGAAACAGAAACUGAAUUGAAAGAGAGUCAUUCCUACCUGCAGCCUGCUUCAGAUGUAAUGAUUAUGAUUACAAACAACAAUGACUUUUCACAGUACAGUAUUUUUGACCACAAUUGGGUUCUACAUGAACUUGUUCUUAUGUAUACAUAA